UUCUCACUAAAAUUUUACAUUAUUAGCUUGUGAUGAUGAGAGAGCCAAAGGUUUCUCCACUAUUAUCUCUACCUACUUUCUAGACUUGCAAUUAUUUGUAAAGAAAGUAUCUACAAGUUCCAGUUGUCUUAUUGCUCUUUCUAAAAAUUCUUGUUUUUUCAUCCUAUGCCUCUGGAAUAACUGAAUGGUGAAAUAAAUAACUUUUUAGUUCAGAAGAAGGCAAAUAUCAAGUGUCAAACCUUAAAGAUGUUUGAGGGCAAGUAAUGCUCUUCUUUUAGCUCCUUACUUUGAUAUUUUCGAAUAUCCAUUUCUUUUAUUUCUUUGUUGCAAUUUCCUUCUUUAAUUUUCAUGUUGAAUUGAAUUAAGUUUAAUUGUAGCUAUACUUGGAUAAUUCAUAUUACACUUUUCUCAUAAAUUUCAUACAAUGGUCCUUAAUAUUCCUUU
This is a small nucleolar RNA of Arachis ipaensis, 444 nucleotides long. RefSeq annotates it as small nucleolar RNA snoR138. The record is from RefSeq and is a predicted model, not a curated record. NCBI's taxonomy places the organism in Eukaryota, Viridiplantae, Streptophyta, Magnoliopsida, Fabales, Fabaceae.